This 1438-nucleotide ribosomal RNA is filed under the name Escherichia coli. RNAcentral's name for it is "partial 23S ribosomal RNA". It matches the Rfam family "Bacterial large subunit ribosomal RNA", at positions 1512 to 2925 of the family's 2925-position model. Lineage: Bacteria; Pseudomonadati; Pseudomonadota; Gammaproteobacteria; Enterobacterales; Enterobacteriaceae. The record is from RNAcentral.
UUAAGCGUGUAGGCUGGUUUUCCAGGCAAAUCCGGAAAAUCAAGGCUGAGGCGUGAUGACGAGGCACUACGGUGCUGAAGCAACAAAUGCCCUGCUUCCAGGAAAAGCCUCUAAGCAUCAGGUAACAUCAAAUCGUACCCCAAACCGACACAGGUGGUCAGGUAGAGAAUACCAAGGCGCUUGAGAGAACUCGGGUGAAGGAACUAGGCAAAAUGGUGCCGUAACUUCGGGAGAAGGCACGCUGAUAUGUAGGUGAAGUCCCUCGCGGAUGGAGCUGAAAUCAGUCGAAGAUACCAGCUGGCUGCAACUGUUUAUUAAAAACACAGCACUGUGCAAACACGAAAGUGGACGUAUACGGUGUGACGCCUGCCCGGUGCCGGAAGGUUAAUUGAUGGGGUCAGCGCAAGCGAAGCUCUUGAUCGAAGCCCCGGUAAACGGCGGCCGUAACUAUAACGGUCCUAAGGUAGCGAAAUUCCUUGUCGGGUAAGUUCCGACCUGCACGAAUGGCGUAAUGAUGGCCAGGCUGUCUCCACCCGAGACUCAGUGAAAUUGAACUCGCUGUGAAGAUGCAGUGUACCCGCGGCAAGACGGAAAGACCCCGUGAACCUUUACUAUAGCUUGACACUGAACAUUGAGCCUUGAUGUGUAGGAUAGGUGGGAGGCUUAGAAGUGUGGACGCCAGUCUGCAUGGAGCCGACCUUGAAAUACCACCCUUUAAUGUUUGAUGUUCUAACGUUGACCCGUAAUCCGGGUUGCGGACAGUGUCUGGUGGGUAGUUUGACUGGGGCGGUCUCCUCCUAAAGAGUAACGGAGGAGCACGAAGGUUGGCUAAUCCUGGUCGGACAUCAGGAGGUUAGUGCAAUGGCAUAAGCCAGCUUGACUGCGAGCGUGACGGCGCGAGCAGGUGCGAAAGCAGGUCAUAGUGAUCCGGUGGUUCUGAAUGGAAGGGCCAUCGCUCAACGGAUAAAAGGUACUCCGGGGAUAACAGGCUGAUACCGCCCAAGAGUUCAUAUCGACGGCGGUGUUUGGCACCUCGAUGUCGGCUCAUCACAUCCUGGGGCUGAAGUAGGUCCCAAGGGUAUGGCUGUUCGCCAUUUAAAGUGGUACGCGAGCUGGGUUUAGAACGUCGUGAGACAGUUCGGUCCCUAUCUGCCGUGGGCGCUGGAGAACUGAGGGGGGCUGCUCCUAGUACGAGAGGACCGGAGUGGACGCAUCACUGGUGUUCGGGUUGUCAUGCCAAUGGCACUGCCCGGUAGCUAAAUGCGGAAGAGAUAAGUGCUGAAAGCAUCUAAGCACGAAACUUGCCCCGAGAUGAGUUCUCCCUGACCCUUUAAGGGUCCUGAAGGAACGUUGAAGACGACGACGUUGAUAGGCCGGGUGUGUAAGCGCAGCGAUGCGUUGAGCUAACCGGUACUAAUGAACCGUGAGGCUUAACCUU